This 625-nucleotide long non-coding RNA is filed under the name Cucumis sativus (cucumber). RNAcentral's name for it is "long non-coding RNA (CSAT_LNC000315)". Lineage: Eukaryota; Viridiplantae; Streptophyta; Magnoliopsida; Cucurbitales; Cucurbitaceae. The record is from RNAcentral.
UUCAGCUUAUACCAAUGGCUUCUUCCUCUGUUUUCUCAACCACUCUCUUCCUUUCUCUACUCUUCACCUCUUUCUUCCUCCCCUCCUCUGCUUCUAACUUCCACCAAUCAACUGACAUUACCUGGGGUGAUGGUCGUGCUCAGAUCCUCAACAAUGGCGACCUUCUCUCUCUUUCCCUCGACAAGGCCUCCGGCUCUGGCUUUCAGUCAAGAAAUGAGUAUCUCUAUGGAAAAAUCGAUAUGCAAAUCAAGCUCGUUCCUGGCAAUUCCGCCGGCACUGUCACUGCCUACUACGUAAGUUUUUAUUUAAAUCAGUUCCCCUGCUUCUACUCCUGUUUUUUGUCUUCUUGAUUCUUACGGAACUUUUUGUGAUUUUUUAGUUGCGGUCUGAAGGGUCAACUUGGGAUGAAAUCGACUUCGAGUUUUUGGGUAAUCUGAGCGGCGAUCCUUACACUGUUCAUACCAAUGUCUUCAGCCAAGGAAAAGGAAACAGAGAGCAACAGUUCCAUCUAUGGUUUGACCCAACUGCCGAUUUCCACACCUAUUCAAUUCUCUGGAAUCCCCAACGCAUUGUGUAAGUUCAAUUCCAAUCAUAAAAUCAAGCUCCCGCACUCAAAAUCGAAAUC